This 1343-nucleotide ribosomal RNA is filed under the name uncultured bacterium. RNAcentral's name for it is "16S ribosomal RNA". It matches the Rfam family "Bacterial small subunit ribosomal RNA", at positions 28 to 1378 of the family's 1533-position model. The record is from RNAcentral.
GACGAACGCUGGCGGCGUGCUUAACACAUGCAAGUCGAACGGAAAGGCCCUGCUUUUGUGGGGUGCUCGAGUGGCGAACGGGUGAGUAACACGUGAGUAACCUGCCCUUGACUUUGGGAUAACUUCAGGAAACUGGGGCUAAUACCGGAUAGGAGCUCCUGCUGCAUGGUGGGGGUUGGAAAGUUUCGGCGGUUGGGGAUGGACUCGCGGCUUAUCAGCUUGUUGGUGGGGUAGUGGCUUACCAAGGCUUUGACGGGUAGCCGGCCUGAGAGGGUGACCGGCCACAUUGGGACUGAGAUACGGCCCAGACUCCUACGGGAGGCAGCAGUGGGGAAUAUUGCACAAUGGGCGGAAGCCUGAUGCAGCAACGCCGCGUGCGGGAUGACGGCCUUCGGGUUGUAAACCGCUUUCGCCUGUGACGAAGCGUGAGUGACGGUAAUGGGUAAAGAAGCACCGGCUAACUACGUGCCAGCAGCCGCGGUGAUACGUAGGGUGCGAGCGUUGUCCGGAUUUAUUGGGCGUAAAGGGCUCGUAGGUGGUUGAUCGCGUCGGAAGUGUAAUCUUGGGGCUUAACCCUGAGCGUGCUUUCGAUACGGGUUGACUUGAGGAAGGUAGGGGAGAAUGGAAUUCCUGGUGGAGCGGUGGAAUGCGCAGAUAUCAGGAGGAACACCAGUGGCGAAGGCGGUUCUCUGGGCCUUUCCUGACGCUGAGGAGCGAAAGCGUGGGGAGCGAACAGGCUUAGAUACCCUGGUAGUCCACGCUGUAAACGGUGGGUACUAGGUGUGGGGUUCAUUCCACGGGUUCCGUGCCGUAGCUAACGCUUUAAGUACCCCGCCUGGGGAGUACGGCCGCAAGGCUAAAACUCAAAGGAAUUGACGGGGCCCCGCACAAGCGGCGGAGCAUGCGGAUUAAUUCGAUGCAACGCGUAGAACCUUACCUGGGUUUGACAUGGAUCGGGAGUGCUCAGAGAUGGGUGUGCCUCUUUUGGGGUCGGUUCACAGGUGGUGCAUGGCUGUCGUCAGCUCGUGUCGUGAGAUGUUGGGUUAAGUCCCGCAACGAGCGCAACCCUUGUUCACUGUUGCCAGCACGUUAUGGUGGGGACUCAGUGGAGACCGCCGGGGUCAACUCGGAGGAAGGUGGGGAUGACGUCAAGUCAUCAUGCCCCUUAUGUCCAGGGCUUCACGCAUGCUACAAUGGCUGGUACAGAGAGUGGCGAGCCUGUGAGGGUGAGCGAAUCUCGGAAAGCCGGUCUCAGUUCGGAUUGGGGUCUGCAACUCGACCUCAUGAAGUCGGAGUCGCUAGUAAUCGCAGAUCAGCAACGCUGCGGUGAAUACGUUCCCGGG